GAUGUAAGUCCAGCAAUUGGCAUUCAGGCUCCAUGUUUGCCUUCUUGUGUGCGUUUAGGUUCGGAUGCUGACAUAAGUCCAGUGAUUGGCAGUCGGGCUCCACGUUUGCCUAUUUGUGUUUGUUUGUGUGCGUGUCAGCCGAGCUACGAAUGCUCUGAUUCUUCUCUCGUCCGAGAAGAUACGUAUGCAUAGGACGCGACAUCCUAGCGAGCAU
RNAcentral lists this long non-coding RNA (214 nucleotides) under Lathyrus oleraceus (garden pea). RNAcentral describes it as "Pisum sativum (pea) long non-coding RNA (PSAT_LNC031286)". The record is from RNAcentral. Lineage: Eukaryota; Viridiplantae; Streptophyta; Magnoliopsida; Fabales; Fabaceae.